Molecule: ribosomal RNA, 253 nt
Filed under: uncultured bacterium
Lineage: Bacteria
Description: partial 16S ribosomal RNA
Rfam family: Bacterial small subunit ribosomal RNA
Source: RNAcentral
UGCGUAGGGUGCAAGCGUUGUCCGGAAUUAUUGGGCGUAAAGAGCUCGUAGGCGGUCUGUCGCGUCGGCUGUGAAAACCCGGAGCUCAACUCCGGGCCUGCAGUCGAUACGGGCAAACUGGAGUGUUGCAGGGGAGACUGGAAUUCCUGGUGUAGCGGUGAAAUGCGCAGAUAUCAGGAGGAACACCGGUGGCGAAGGCGGGUCUCUGGGCAACAACUGACGCUGAGGAGCGAAAGCGUGGGGAGCGAACAGG